This 549-nucleotide ribosomal RNA is filed under the name Sordariomycetes sp. genotype 78. RNAcentral describes it as "eukaryotic LSU rRNA". It matches the Rfam family "Eukaryotic large subunit ribosomal RNA", at positions 1 to 549 of the family's 3401-position model. The record is from RNAcentral. Lineage: Eukaryota; Fungi; Ascomycota; Sordariomycetes.
UUUUACACAAGGUUGACCUCGGAUCAGGUAGGAAUACCCGCUGAACUUAAGCAUAUCAAUAAGCGGAGGAAAAGAAACCAACAGGGAUUGCCCCAGUAACGGCGAGUGAAGCGGCAACAGCUCAAAUUUGAAAUCUGGCUUCGGCCCGAGUUGUAAUUUGUAGAGGAUGCUUUUGGUGAGGUGCCUUCUGAGUUCCCUGGAACGGGACGCCAGAGAGGGUGAGAGCCCCGUAUAGUUGGACACCGAGCCUCUGUAAAGCUCCUUCGACGAGUCGAGUAGUUUGGGAAUGCUGCUCAAAAUGGGAGGUAUAUCUCUUCUAAAGCUAAAUACUGGCCAGAGACCGAUAGCGCACAAGUAGAGUGAUCGAAAGAUGAAAAGCACUUUGAAAAGAGGGUUAAAUAGUACGUGAAAUUGUUGAAAGGGAAGCGCUUGUGACCAGACUUGUGCCCGGCUGAUCAUCCAGUGUUCUCACUGGUGCACUCUGCCGGGCUCAGGCCAGCGUCGGUUCUCGCAGGGGGACAAAAGCUUCGGGAACGUAGCUCCUCCGGG